RNAcentral lists this long non-coding RNA (925 nucleotides) under Equus caballus (horse). RNAcentral's name for it is "lncRNA (ENSECAG00000056600.1)". The record is from RNAcentral. Lineage: Eukaryota; Metazoa; Chordata; Mammalia; Perissodactyla; Equidae.
AUUAAACUUUAUAUGUGUCAACCAGAUUUGUCACAGAUUGGGGGUGAAAUGAGAGCAUAAACUUAUGCAAAAAUUAAAGCCACACGGUCACAUCAUCUUGUCAGAAAAGAAAAGCAACAGAAUACAAGAUGCCACUGCCAUUUACAUGAAGGAACUAAGGCCUGGACUGCCCUCCCAGCAAAAAUCUGCUCUAACAUAAGCCAAUAAGAUGACAAAUGGGAAUCUGAAAUGACUUUGAAAUAAAAUCCAAGAUGUAUCCGUGAAGGCGGGAGGCAAAGAUGUUCUGGAACUGCUGUCUCUCCCAAGGGCUCUGCAAAACCCCUGAGGCCUCAGCUUGUAAUUCUGCAAUAGGGUCUCACAUCUCCAAACCUUUCCUUACCGGCCCCUGAAUGCGAGCCAACUGCUUCAUUUGGUUCUCAGCUGAAGAAAUAGAUCUGUUCCUAUGCCGGAGAGAAAACCAGAUGUCCUGGAUUGAGAAAUGGUAUCUCUACAUGUACUUCAGAGGCGUUAUAAGGGAUCCUCAAGGGCAAACUUUCACUGGAUGCCUAGUGAAGGCCAAGUACUGGAAUUGAAGACAGAAACAGAGUUUCUGCCUUCAAGGAGCUCACAGACAAGCAAGAAACACUGACACGGGACAAUUGAAUGCAAAUAAGCUUCCUCACCGUGACUGUUUUUCUGUUGAACAGCGAUGAGUGGUGGUAGGCAUUUUCGAUAUCUGGCUAAAGAGAAGUUGAGUUGGGGAACAUGAAGUUUGGAUUGAGCGGCAUAUAUUUCUGCAGUUUGCAGAAUUUCCAUGUUUAGUUAGGUUAUUAUUAGGCCUCCUGGUGUAGGAACGGCUUCCAGGAAUGCUCCUUUCCCUACCAUGUCAAUUCAUCUGGUGCCAUCUCAUAAAAGUGCAGGGCCAAGGGCAAAGCUGUGAUAGGAC